Long non-coding RNA from Limulus polyphemus (Atlantic horseshoe crab), 207 nucleotides. RefSeq lists it as uncharacterized. The record is from RefSeq and is a predicted model, not a curated record. Lineage: Eukaryota; Metazoa; Arthropoda; Merostomata; Xiphosura; Limulidae. The transcript is spliced from 3 exons.
UUUACAGACUGGGAGGUUUUUUGGGGAGAUAGACGCCACAGUUUUUAAAGCCAUGAUUAACCAUAAAGUUUACAGAAGAGUUCACAUCUUUGAUUAUCAAGCCAUUUGCUUGGACGUUAAGAUUCCUUCUGGACCAGCCUCUCUACCCACACAUAUCCUCCACAACUUGUACUCUCUCAUGAUUUGGUUGUGGGGCAAGUUCUUACU